CACGUAGGGCGCAAGCGUUGUUCGGAUUUACUGGGCGUAAAGGGCGCGUAGGCGGCGGGUCAAGUCGAGUGUGAAAGCCCCGGGCUCAACCUGGGAAUUGCGCUCGAGACUGGUCUGCUUGAGUUCGGGAGAGGAGAGUGGAAUUCCCAGUGUAGAGGUGAAAUUCGUAGAUAUUGGGAAGAACACCGGUGGCGAAGGCGGCUCUCUGGACCGAGACUGACGCUGAGGCGCGAAAGCGUGGGGAGCAAACAGG
This 253-nucleotide ribosomal RNA is filed under the name uncultured bacterium. RNAcentral's name for it is "partial 16S ribosomal RNA". It matches the Rfam family "Bacterial small subunit ribosomal RNA", at positions 524 to 776 of the family's 1533-position model. The record is from RNAcentral.